AGGAAGGUUUCGUUUGUUGGAUUACGAGUUAGGCUGUAAACCUAAUGGCUUUUAGUCGUCGAAGGUUCGAUUCCCUCUCUUCCUA
RNAcentral lists this transfer RNA (85 nucleotides) under Nannizziopsis barbatae. Its description in RNAcentral is "tRNA-Tyr". It matches the Rfam family "tRNA". From Rfam's summary of the family: Transfer RNA (tRNA) molecules are approximately 80 nucleotides in length. Their secondary structure includes four short double-helical elements and three loops (D, anti-codon, and T loops). Further hydrogen bonds mediate the characteristic L-shaped molecular structure. tRNAs have two regions of fundamental functional importance: the anti-codon, which is responsible for specific mRNA codon recognition, and the 3' end, to which the tRNAs corresponding amino acid is attached (by aminoacyl-tRNA synthetases). tRNAs cope with the degeneracy of the genetic code in two manners: having more than one tRNA (with a specific anti-codon) for a particular amino acid; and 'wobble' base-pairing, i.e. permitting non-standard base-pairing at the 3rd anti-codon position. Lineage: Eukaryota; Fungi; Ascomycota; Eurotiomycetes; Onygenales; Nannizziopsiaceae. The record is from RNAcentral.